UACGUAGGGUGCAAGCGUUAAUCGGAAUUACUGGGCGUAAAGCGUGCGCAGGCGGCGCGUUAAGACAGGUGUGAAAGCCCCGAGCUUAACUUGGGAAUUGCGCUUGUGACUGGCGUGCUGGAGUGUGGCAGAGGGAGGUGGAAUUCCACGUGUAGCAGUGAAAUGCGUAGAGAUGAUGGAGGAACACCGAUGGCGAAGGCAGCCUCCUGGGCCAACACUGACGCUCAUGCACGAAAGCGUGGGGAGCAAACAGGA
Molecule: ribosomal RNA, 255 nt
Filed under: uncultured bacterium
Lineage: Bacteria
Description: partial 16S ribosomal RNA
Rfam family: Bacterial small subunit ribosomal RNA
Source: RNAcentral